RNAcentral lists this ribosomal RNA (310 nucleotides) under uncultured eukaryote. Its description in RNAcentral is "partial large subunit ribosomal RNA". It matches the Rfam family "Eukaryotic large subunit ribosomal RNA", at positions 40 to 350 of the family's 3401-position model. The record is from RNAcentral.
AUAUCACUAAGGGGAGGAAAAGAAAUUAACUAAGAUUGCCUCAGUAACGGCGAGUGAAGUGGCAAAAGCCCAAACUGGAAAUCUCCAUGUUUCACAUGGCGAAUUGUAAUCUACAGUUGGGAAACUCACCUGGUUUCGGCGCAGAAGUGUCUUAGAACGGACCGCCAGAGAGGGUGACAGCCCCGUAUGUGGUGCCGAGACCUAACGAGUUCCUUUCGAUGAGUCGGGUAGCUUUGAAAUGCUGCCCUAAGCUGGGAGAUAGACUUCUUCUAAGGCUAAAUAUUUAUGGGAGACCGAUAGCGCACAAGUA